UGUAGUGGAAGUCAUUUUCCUUUGUUUCGAAUGCAGUGUGUAUGGACAUUUACAUAAUAAAAUGCUUGCACAAAUAACAGAUGGUGAAGAGGCACUCAUUUUGCUACAUGUUGGAAACACAAUGCUAUUCCUUGAUCAACUCAUUUCUCUUACUUUUGCCUACAGAUGUCUUACCAGCUAUUAAACCCCGGGGGUUAUUCAACUGGUGAAAGGUUUGAAGACAGGCAAAAAGCUGUCUGCAGAAUUUCCCUGCUUCAAUCAAGAGCAAAUGCUGUGCCCUGAUGGGGAUUCUCAAUCCAUCAAAAGUGGUUUUCGCUGUCAGAAAAGCACUUUUGAGCAAUGCAUCUGAAAAUAAGUGUCCUUGAUCCAUCUGGAAAUGUGAGUCUCCAGAACCAGUCUUCAGAAAGCAUCACUGAACCAACGCUUUCUCCUUGCAGAUGUGGACCUUGAGAUGAAUUCUGAAGGCAAAGAAUGAUAUUCUCCUUUGAGACCUUUGGAUGAAAUGCAUGAUGUUAUGUAAGUACUAAGCAUUAUUUUUAACAAUAAUAUUCAAGUGAAUGAGGCAGCGGG
Long non-coding RNA from Chrysemys picta bellii (western painted turtle), 570 nucleotides. RefSeq lists it as uncharacterized. NCBI's taxonomy places the organism in Eukaryota, Metazoa, Chordata, Testudines, Emydidae. The record is from RefSeq and is a predicted model, not a curated record.